Molecule: long non-coding RNA, 436 nt
Organism: Stylophora pistillata
Lineage: Eukaryota; Metazoa; Cnidaria; Anthozoa; Scleractinia; Pocilloporidae
Source: RefSeq, a predicted model, not a curated record
GCUUAAAUAUUGGGUGGUUCAGAAUAUACAGUUCUGGUGCGCAACUGUCUUCGCACGCGAGUUGCAGCCAGCAAGGACAAGCAAACUAAACUCAUACUGUGAAGUGAUAGAAGUCAAGGAUUCUUUGAGGUCAUGUAGCUUGUACAACAAGUACUAGAAGAAAGAACAAUGAAUCACCUACAAGAUCAAGCACAUGGAAACAGAUAACACUUAAAGACAGGAUGAUGAUGAUGCCAGAAGAAUGAAGAAAUUUAUUGUUUGAAAUAAAGUGAAUUAAAUCUUCUACCGAUGUGAAGAGGAAAAUCGCGCUAAGGAAAGAGAUGUGUGCGUAGAAAAUAGUUGAUUGAAAGAUCUGUGCUUUUAAAAGGGCUAACCAUAAUUUGCGAAAAAAAAAACUAAGUCUUUUGGCGGGCAAAUUUUUCCUUGAAAAUAAAGG